RNAcentral lists this ribosomal RNA (450 nucleotides) under uncultured bacterium. RNAcentral's name for it is "partial 16S ribosomal RNA". It matches the Rfam family "Bacterial small subunit ribosomal RNA", at positions 354 to 796 of the family's 1533-position model. The record is from RNAcentral.
GUGGGGAAUCUUCCGCAAUGGACGAAAGUCUGACGGAGCAACGCCGCGUGAGUGAUGAAGGUCUUCGGAUUGUAAAGCUCUGUUAAUCGGGACGAAAGAGCCUAGUGUGAAUAAUGCUAGGAAGUGACGGUACCGGAAUAGAAAGCCACGGCUAACUACGUGCCAGCAGCCGCGGUAAUACGUAGGUGGCAAGCGUUGUCCGGAAUUAUUGGGCGUAAAGCGCGCGCAGGCGGAUCUGCCAGUCUGUCUUAAAAGUUCGGGGCUUAACCCCGAGAUGGGAUGGAAACUACAGAGCUAGAGUAUCGGAGAGGAAAGUGGAAUUCCAAGUGUAGCGGUGAAAUGCGUAGAUAUUAGGAAGAACACCAGUGGCGAAGGCGACUUUCUGGACGAAAACUGACGCUGAGGCGCGAAAGCCAGGGGAGCGAACGGGAUUAGAAACCCGAGUAGUCC